CGGACUCAGUUUCCCUCCGCGUGACCGCGCUCGCCCCUCCCCCUGCCCAGCCGGGAGUGUGGGCGCCUGCGCGCCGCCAAGCGCAGCUGGUGCCCGGAAUCGGGAGCCGCCCCAGGCCCCACUCUCCCGGGGGACCGGUCCUUCGCAGCCCUGAGCCCGGGACCACCCGCGCCCUCCAUCCGUCCUCAGUCCCUGGACCUUGCGGUCACCACCCUCCCUUUGUUGGCACCUGUCCUUUACCAAGCGCUCAGCAGCUUCCCGGGUUUGAUGACCUUCACCUCUGAGGAAGCCGGAAGGGAGACGCUGGAUUACUUAACGCUAGGCCACACUGCUUGUGAGAGCCGGACCGGCGUUCCUACCUACACAUCCACGAGUCUGGACUCUGCUCUUGGUCUGCUCUGCUUCCCCGAAAAGCAGUCUCCGGGCAGUAGCCCGCCGUGACUCUGGGGUUAGGUCCCAGAGACCUCUCCACAGCACUCUUGUGGCCAGCUCAGGGCACGGGGCGUGCGAGGUGCAGGGAGGGAAAACUAGGCCAGCAGGAGAAAGGAAAAGCGAGGCCUUCCAUUAGGCCUCCGGAUGAGGGCCCAGGGACGCCCACACUUUGGGGAGGCCCCCUUUCUUGCAGCUCUGCACCUGGAGCUCAGGGCCUGGGACAGAAGCUCUGCCCCGAGUGCUGGUGGCAGUGCCUGACCCGAGCCUCCUCCUCCCAGUAGUGUCCCAGGAGCCUCAGCUGCAGCUCUCGAGCUGGGUCCUGGGCCAGCGCGCCCCUCCUCUCCUUUCCUUGCUCAGCACCACAGGCCCCGGUGGGGAUAGUCCUCCCCAAGCCAUCAAUAGGCCUUGGCCCAGCCCACCCCUGCUCAGGCGAUCCGCUCCCAGACAGGUGGCCUCCACCAGGAAGCCUUUCCUGGUAUCCUCCUCCCCUCGCCUCCUACUCUGUGUUUUGGGCCCUUCCUCCUGCUACCUACCCAGUUUUGUGAUUCUCUGCCCGAGUGCCCAUCUCCCCCACCAGGCUGGGAGACCCUGCAGGGCCAGAAACAUCUUAAUCAUCUCCUCUUCUUCAUCUCUGGCCACAAGUGGGCCCAGAGGAGCCCCUGCCCAGAGCAGAUGCCUCCCCUAUUGCCUGCAGGAGCCGAAGCCAUGGAAUACCGCAAACAGGGAGUGCACGGGGGUGGGCACAGUUCUGCACGAGGACUGUGAGGCCUCCCCUCUCCCUGCCUCGGCUUCCACUCUGCGGUCCUCCUGCUCGCCCUGGAACACUGGAUGUACUUCCUGUGCAGGGGCCUUCUCUGCAGUCCUGCCCAGGGGUGAGCCUGGUCUUAUUUGCCCUUUUCCUGGAGCCAGGUAAGGCAGAACCUCCUGGGAAGAGAGGCUUCGAAGAUCAGACAGACCACGAAAAGAGGGCAGGGGAAGCCAUGGACACAGGGUGGCACGGUGUUCUGUGAAGAGUGUGGGCUUCUUCGCUGGUCGGGUGCCCCUCGGCAACAUGCUGGCAUUUUUGAGUCUCAGUUUCCUGUCUGCACAAUGGGGAUUGUAAUAUCUGUCACUGAGGAUUAGAGUAAAUGCAUGCAAAGGGCCUGGAUGUUCUUCCCUUCCACCUGCCCAUGAACUGUGGGUGGAAGUGGAGAAUAAGAGGGGAGGGGAGAGAGGCUGAGUGCUGGAGACCAGCAAAGCCCAGGCAGAGAGGAGUGGGAGCUGGGGCUGUGCCUGCCCAACGACCCUGAUACGGGUUCCCUCCAGGGUCCCAUCUUGCCCAGUUUCUCUGCCCAAUACAGCAGCACAGAAAGAAGAUGGAGCGGGGUCUGCCCCCUGGUGGGAGCUGAGGGAAAUAAACGGCUCUCAGAGCUCUCCCUGGUAACAAGUCCUCCCAAGACAGCUGACAGAGAAGAUGAGCCCUCACUCACCUCAGCUGGCGGAAGUGAGGGUUCAGACCUGAGUGUGAACAAAUGGGAAUCCAGCCUGAAGCCCACGGCCAGAUUUACAGUUCUCCCCCAAGACAAGAUCGUGCAAAAUUAGAGUCCCUUCCACAGGCGAGCCCCCUGACCCUGGCGCCCCCUUGUGGGUCCUUUUGCAGGUGCACCUCUGUUGGGUGAGGGCCUAAUAGCCUGUCUCCCUUCAGAGGUGGGUUUGGCACUGGUUCUCUUGUUCACCACUGUGCUGCUGGGACCAGCAUAGCACAUCACAAGCAUGUUCUCUCGGUUUGUCACAUGCUUUUUAUUGAGCACCUAUGUGUAUAGGGCAUGCUGGGGGGCAAGGGGAGGAGCCUCAGGCUCCCUGUCCUUGCUGAAUGACUCAACGUGAUCUGUGUAGAGGUCCUAGACUCUGGGAUCCCAGAAGGACUUGCUGAGCACAGGGCCUUGCAGAUAGUGCCAUUUGCAGUUUUUGGGUCCUUAAAAGUGGGACUAGGAUGGAGUGAGAAGUGCAGCUCCACGUAGGGGGCCCAUGGAGGGCUGGGUACUGCAUGGCAGAGGGGGCUGCCCCAGGAAAGCAAGAGGUCCUGUUGAUAGAGGUGAGGAAGAAGGCUGAGAGCUUCCUUUCUGCCCUCCUUGGCCUCCGGAUGAGCUUUGAGUCCCAGCAGGCUGGGAAAAUGCUGAGAAACAUACAUGGAAGGGCCAGCUGGGAUUCCCACCCAUUCUCCAGGAAGAAACAAAACCUCUGUUAGGACCCUCCUCUGUGGAAAAAAACCUCAUGGGUCCUACUGCCUGUGCUGGCAGGUGCAGGACCUUUCCUCUCUCUGGGCCUUGUAUUCCAACAUCUCCUGUCUCCUUCUGCCUGGGGGCCCUUGCUCCUGUCUCCUCCCCAUUCCACUUCUUCCUGUCCUCCAGAAGCUGCAGUGACAGUGGCAACUCCUACAGGAAGCCCAGGUGGAGGAGCCCAGCCUGUAGGGGGAACAGGGCUGAGUUGGGGAGGUAAUGAUGUAAACUCAGAACCUUUACCAUUGUCACAAGGGCACGUGGGCAGGUAGCAAAGGUCACAGGAAUAAGCAUGAGGUCCCAGAGGGCAGGGACUGUGUGUCCAUUUCUCUUUUGAUUUCUCUGGCUUCCACAAUGCCCUGCAUCCAUGCAGUUAAAGUCUGAGAAGGAGUUAGUUAAAAUAGCCAUGUCCUAAUUCCUGGGACCUGUAAACAUCACUUAGAAAUUAGAAAAAGGAUUUUUUUGUCAUGCAAACAUAUACCAAUAAUUUUUUUUAAAUUUAAAAAUAAAAAGGGAUUUUUAAAGAUGUAAGAUCUGGAAUGGGGGAGAUUAUAGUGGGUUACUGGGGGAGUCUAAAUGCGAUCACGUGUAUCCUUAUAAGAGGGAUCAGAGGCAGACUUUACACAGAAGGGACAGUGUGACACAUGGGACAGAAAUGAGUGGUGGAGCCAGAGCCAAGGAAUGCAGAAGCUAGAAGACUCCCCACCCCCAGCUCCCUCAGGGAGCACCCCCCUCAAACCUGCAUUUCAGACUUCUGGCUGCCAGAACUGUGAGAAAAUACAUUUCUGUUGUUUAAGCCACCAAGUUUCAAGUAGUAUAUGGCACAGCAGCCACAGGAAAUGAAUAUGUAUGGCAUAAAUAAUCACGUGUAAGUUAUAAAAAUUAUAAAGAGCCAGGUUGGGCAGGGCAUGGUGCCCAACUUCUGUAAUCUCAGCACUCUGGAGUCUGAGGCAGGAGGAUCCCAAGUUCGAGCCCUGCCUGGGCUACAUAUUGAAUUGGAGGUCCAACCAGGCUGCAUAGUGAGACCCCACCUCAGUAAACAAAACACAGGCGGAUUUAGAAGAGAAUGGAGAGGAAGGCAAGCAAAAAGGAUCAAGAUGGGGCCGGGAAUUUAGCUCGGUGGUUUCGCCACCUGCUUCGCAAGCACAAGGACCCGAGUUCGAUCCCUGGUACCAAAAAAAAAAAAAAAAGGAUUAAGAUGCAAUAUAUAUGUGCACCAGUAUGCCGUGAUGAAUAUAUUCUCAUGUAUCACAAACAUGUACUAAUAAAAUUUUUAAGUUUAUGCUGAAGACAUACAGAACAAUACUAUUAUAUGUACUUCUUACUCUGUUGUUGAUCACAUCACGUUCACUCGUAUGUCUUCUAAUUACAAAAUAAAUUAUCUACCAGAAAAACAAAAGAGCUAGGUUUUAGAACCCCAAAUUGCUGAGCUGGGCAUCAACACAGCUGCUCUUUUAGCUCCCUGGCUCUGGACAAGUUAAAUUCUCUGAGCCUGUUCUCCUGUGUGUAAAGUGGGUCCUGCAGGAAUUUAAUGAGAAAAUGCAUGUAAUGUGCUCACCCAGUGCCCAGCCUGGCCUGGCAGGUGGUGGUUACUCCAUGUGUCAGCCCGGAGCCGCUCAGAGCCAGGCUAAAAGGAGAUGCAGUUUUCUGCUUCAUGUGGGCCUUGAUACCACCAUCCAUGUUGUCUGGAAAUGGGUCAGGACUCACAGUUUCUUCCUGCUCACAAACCUGCUGGAUUUUUUGUUUUUAACUAUGAAUAAUUAUUGCUUUGGAGGGGAAGUAUGGGUGUGAACUCUAUACUUUGCUCCAGAUAUGCCUCCAUCACAGAGACAGAAAUCACACUUGGAGACACAGCCUGGUGCUGGGGCCCUGCUGAGACCUGUGGGAGGCAACAGGGCAUCUUGAGGCCUUGUCCUUCCUCUGCCACAGGAGCUCAUGUUGGGUAGGGUGCCACCCAGACCCUUCUCCGACGCCCGGGAGCAGGACAAGCUGGUUGCUAGAAUUCCUUCCAUGUUUCUAAGAAGAAAUGGCAAGGCCUUACUUAUUCUAUCCACCUGAGCUCCAAAUCUUGUUCUUUGUUGCAGAAAUGGCCCCUGAAAGUGACUUCCAUUUCAGGGCACCAACAUUUACUGUGGGCUCCUCACGGGUUAGGAAGCAGCCUUUUGCCUGAGUCUUCUUACCUCUUUCCCAGAAGUCCAAGAACUGCCAAACUACGAUAUUCACUGUUCCCACCGACCACAGUUGGUCUCUGCUUCCACCUGGCUCCCUUCAGCACCAGUGUGGACAUUCUUCAGCGCACACAGCCCGUCACACCAUGGUCCUGACCAACAUGAGCUUGCUCUCUUCUCGACUAAAGACCACACGUUUUGUAUGUUUGUGUCAGGAGCAAUGCUACAUAAUUUUAGGGAAAAAUCAUUUGAUUAGGCCUAGUUCUCCUGCCUACAGGCCAGCUAUGGCAUUUUGAGACAUAAUUCCAUUCUGGCCCCCGGUCACAACUGAGACCUCAAUGAUCCGGUGAUGCUGUGAUGCUCCAGGA
This is a long non-coding RNA of Heterocephalus glaber (naked mole-rat), 5226 nucleotides long. RefSeq lists it as uncharacterized. Lineage: Eukaryota; Metazoa; Chordata; Mammalia; Rodentia; Bathyergidae. The record is from RefSeq and is a predicted model, not a curated record.